Molecule: unclassified non-coding RNA, 1919 nt
Filed under: Hevea brasiliensis (rubber tree)
Lineage: Eukaryota; Viridiplantae; Streptophyta; Magnoliopsida; Malpighiales; Euphorbiaceae
Source: RNAcentral
UUGGCAGAUCAGGUUUCAAGUCCACAGUCAAUUGUAUAGCAAGCAAAGAAUUGUCUUCAUCUCUAGUUGCCAGAACUGCUCUGGAGUCACCAAGAUUUCCGACUACAAGAUCCUGGCCCUGAAAAGCCACAUGGUCAUCAAGCACGAUUAAGGAUACAGGUUUAAAUUCAUCCUAUGAAAAGCAAAAUCAUUUCAUUUUCUGUAAUAUUAACAACGUUACCACUUAUGUAUCAGUUAACAUUGUCCAUAAAAUCAUUUAAUGAUGUAAGAUCAAGUUUUAGGGGUCAAAAACAUGAGUACAAUAGAGGUGUGAUGAGCAGAAGGGAAAGCCAAACUUCAGAAAUGACAGGCAAGGCUUUAAUGACAUAACUUUAGCCAAGACAUGAACACGCAUGCUUAUUCAAGGGAUACAACAAGGCAGUUAUGGUCUGAUAAUGCAAUAUUCAGAGGUAAGAAUCUUGUGCAAGGCACAGUAUCAUCAAAAGCAUCAGAUGCGUCUUGAGCACCCUUGGAGGCUAGGGGCAUGGUGCAUGGUGCAAAGCACAGACAAACACCUAAGCGAAGUUAGAGCAUAUCUUUGAAAUUAAAAGUACAAAAAUUUCUAUGAGAAACUAAUAACAUGGAAAUAAGAGAAACACCAAAUAAAUUCUAAUAAAUUCCAAUGUCAAGGAAGUUGACACCAUUAAAAUGACGGUAGCAUACUUUGUACCAGUUUUGCUGCUGCAAAAUCUCUACAGUAGUACUCAGUUUAUAUUUCUAUUCAAUCAGGCGAGUACCAUCUAUAUCCAAAAGGUCAUCUCACUGAUAAAACUAAGAACUGCUCUGUAGCUUUUGCAUGUAAAGUAACAGAAAAUGAAGGAGGCCAAACCCUAAUCUUUAAUUUGGAAAUUCAUUCAGAGUCCAGGAAUGAUGUGCAACCAUGAAUAACAAACACUUAAAAAGAUCAGGUCAUUAAAUUUUAUAAGCUGCUAGUUUGUUGUACAAUUAUUUUCGUACAAGAUGUUUGAGACUUGUGAGUUUAAUGCAGUUUUUUUUUUUCUAAAAUACAAUUUUCAUUCUCUACGUCUAAGUCCUAGUCAUAGAAGGAUUGACAGAUUCAGUCUAAUAUGCUCUAUGACAUUCUUUUUUUAUUCAGAGAAGAACGCAGAGACUUGAUAUGUUUUUGAGCUUGUCUGGGAGGUAUCACUGCCCUCUUUCAGAGGCAUGGUUACCUAGAAACCCCAUGAGCAAUUCAAUAUGGUUAAUUUGUUUCUUAACAAUUUUCCCAUUAAAUUUCAUACUUCCUGCAAAAUUCAGCCCCCAAGAUAAAGCCUGAACUUAGCCUUAACAUGAAAUUGAUUCAUAAAUCCUGAUUCCAACUCAUAAUGCCAUAAAGACUGCAAUUAAAUUCCCAAUCAUAAUGUUGAAAUAAAGAUGUCCUGCCUCAAAAUUUCUAACCAAGAGAAGUGGAAAUUUAGCUACACAUAAGCAAGACAAAUUGCAUGUAAUACUGUACCACUUGUGAAGAUGGGUAGAAAAAGAAUCCUCAGUUUUCUAGCCUCUACUCUAAGCCAAUUUAUCUGCCAUUUAUUUAAUCCAAUCUCUAUCAUCUUACAAUCAUAGAGGCACAGAAUUAUUUCAAUAGAAGGCAAAUCAUUAUUUGGUAUGACAACUUAUUAAAUAUGCAUCUACCAGCAAGGGAGGGGGAAGGGGGGUGGCGGUCCAUAGCUUAAUGUGUGGGGGCAAGUGCACCCACUGAAAUCAUGAAAUACUUAAGUUUUUAUUGAUAAAUAUAAGUAUUUUAUUUGAAACCCCUAUUAAAAUUUAUUUAAUGCCGCAAUUAAAAUGUAUUUUUGUUUCUCAAUUCGGUGUAAAAUUUAAUGUAUGACACUUGUCAAAAAUUUUACUCAAUGUAAUACAUAAAAAGUUUUAUGAUUAUU